GAUGAAGAACGCAGCGAAAUGCGAUAAGUAGUGUGAAUUGCAGAAUUCAGUGAAUCAUCGAAUCUUUGAACGCACAUUGCGCCCCUUGGUAUUCCAUGGGGCAUGCCUGUUCGAGCGUCAUUUGUACCCUCAAGCUUUGCUUGGUGUUGGGUGUUUGUCCCGCGUUGCGCGUGGACUCGCCUUAAAGCGAUUGGCAGCCAGCAUAUUGGCCUUGGAGCGCAGCACAUUUUGCGCUUCUAGUCAUGAAUGUUGGCGUCCAUUAAGCCUAUACAUUUGCUCUUGACCUCGGAUCAGGUAGGGAUACCCGCUGAACUUAAGCAUAUCAAUAAGCGGAGGA
This 337-nucleotide unclassified non-coding RNA is filed under the name soil metagenome. RNAcentral describes it as "partial contains 5.8S ribosomal RNA, internal transcribed spacer 2, and large subunit ribosomal RNA". The stretch from base 1 to 120 matches the Rfam family "5.8S ribosomal RNA", at positions 35 to 154 of the family's 154-position model. The record is from RNAcentral.